Long non-coding RNA from Equus caballus (horse), 3813 nucleotides. Lineage: Eukaryota; Metazoa; Chordata; Mammalia; Perissodactyla; Equidae. The record is from Ensembl.
CUUUACCAUUAGCACAUUUUUUUUAUAUUAAAAAUGAAAUAUACGUGAAUGGUUCCAUUUUUAUGCCAUUCUGGAAAAGGCAAAACUACAGGGCCAGAGAAAAGCACUGGUUGCCAGGUUUGGGAAUAGGGGAGGAGUUGACUAGAGAAGGGGACAAAGGGACUUUUUGGGGUAAGAGAAAUGUUUGAUAUUUUGAUGAAUUGUGGUAACAGAUACAUGUCUGUAUGAGUUUGUUAAAAUUCACAGAACUGGAUGAUAAAAAAGGUGACUUUACUGUAUAUAAAUUAUACCUCAAUAAACCUGACUUUUAAAAGUGAAAUGUACAGAGAAAAUAUAGACAGCAAGGACGAUAUUUUAUUUUCUUUUGAGGAAGAUUCGCCCUAAGCUAACAUCUGCUGCCCAUCCUCCUCUUUUUUGCUGAGGAAGACUGGCCCUGAGCUAACAUCUGUGCCCAUCUUCCUCUACUUUUUAUAUGUGGGACGCCUGCCUCACCAUGGCUUGACAAGUGGUGCAUAGGUCUGCACCCAGGAUCCAAACCCGAGAACCCUGAGCUGCCAAAGCAGAAUGUGCCAACUCAAUUGCAGAGCCACCAGGCUGACCCCAAGGACUAUAUUUUUAAAAUAAUUUUAGGGCCAGCCCCUGUGACCUAGUGGUUAAGUUCAGCUCGCUCCCUUUGGUGACCCUGGGUUCAGUUCCCUAGGCAUGACCUACACUGCUCUGUUAGCAGCCAUGCUGUGCUGGCAGCCUACAUAAAAACUCUAAAAAUAUUUUAAAUUACACAAGCAAUAAAAUUACACAAUAAAUAAAUAAUCCGUUAUGCAUUUUAAAAAUUAGAACAUUACAGGUGAAUCUAAAGUCUUGUGUGUCAGGUCCCCAUUCUGAUCCCCUCCUUCCUUCCCGGGGGUGAACACUGAUGUGUGUUCUUCCACAUUUUUUAAAAAGUUAAAACAUACAAAUAUGUGGUUGUAGAAAAUGUAUAGCACUGGGUUUUCUGUGGACACGUGCGUGCUCUUUAUUACAUUAAUGGUAUCACACAGUACCCUAAUCAAUAACUUUUUCACUGUUUUUUUCUUUUUGGUGAGGAAGAUUGGCUCUGAGCUAACAUCUGUUGCCAAUCUUAUUGUUUUUGCUUGAGGAAGAUUGUCCCUGAGCUAACAACCGUGCCAAUCUUUCUCUAUUUUCUAUGUGGGAUGCUUCCCCAGCAGCGUGAUGAGCAGUGUGUAGGUCGGCGUCAGGACAGCCGUGAAGCCCGGUGCAGGAAUUUAACCAAUACGCCACCAGCCGGCUCCUCGCUUUUUCUUUUUUAUGUAUCUGUUGAUAAAGAUCUACUUCCAUCACUCCAAGUGCAGGAUUAAAUUUUUUGUUUGUUUACGAUCAUGGUAUCAUGCUGUACCUUAUUCUGCAACUCAUCACUGUUUUUUGAUGUCUAAUUCACUCGCUGGAAGUGCAGCAGAUAGCAUUCCACUUCACGAACACACCGCAUUCUGUUAAUCCGUUGUGUAGGUGAUUAGCUGGCUCCCAGUUUUUCGCUCUUACAGUGAUCCCCUGCCCACCGUGCUCGCGUGCUGGGCCGCUUCAGGGUGGAUGGCUAGGAGUGGCACAGUUUGUGCACUUUCAAUUUUAACAGGAUAGGACUCGCGUCUUCCCCAGAUAGGCACCCAGAGCCACCCAGAAGCGGGUCGGCGGCGCACCGGACGAUCGGACAGACCCCGCUCAUAGCCGCCGCCCGGGGCUCCACGGCUGCCCUAGCGCAGCCGCUCUUCCCCGCCCCUCCCUCGGCGCCCGCCGAGACCUUCCCAGCAAGCACUGCACAUAUUUGCAUAGCAAUUCGCGUCCUUGCUUCACUUCAAAAAACAGAAAUGACAAAUCAAAGAGUCUUCUUGUGAAGACGUCCCUUUGCUUCAGAAGAUGUUGCAGUUCCUCUCUCAAACUCAGGAACAGGGAGUAGGAAAUGGCAUCGGCUUUGUUUUCACCUUUACCAAAAGAGAGGUUCGGCAACAGCGCCCCCCUGCUUUGAAUUUUUUCUUUUUAAAAAGGGCUUCUGUCGUGAGUGGCACACGUGGGGCAGCUCAAUUGCUCUUCGUGCGGAAUCGACAUCAAGAGAUUUCGGAAGCAUAAUUUUUUGGUACUCGGGCAGCUGGUGAUCGUUGGUCUCGGCGCCCCUGUUCAGAUGGGUCCGAAAAGAAAAACGAGUUCUCGUUGGCCUCUGUAAGAGUAGAAGAUUAGCCUUGAGCUAACUGCUGCCAAUCCUCCUUUUUGCUGAGGAAGACUGGCCUAGAGCUAACAUCUGUGCCCAUCUUCCUCUACUUUACAUGUGGGACGCCUACCACAGCAUGGCUCUUGCUAAGUGGUGCCAUGUCCACACCCGGGAUCCGGACCGGCAAACCUGGGCCACCAAAGCGGAACGUGUGUACCUAACUGCUGUGCCACCGGGCCAGCCCCAGGGUUCAUUAAUUCUAACAACAAAUAUGUAAUGUGCCCCAGUAUAGUGCCAAACACAAUAGACCCAGUGCCUGACUUCACAAGGCUUACAGUUUAGUGAGGGGAGAGAACAGGAAAUUGAGCACAUCUGCGGGGAGGGGAAGAUCUGGGAAAGCUUUCCUGAGGCAAAAACUUUGAAGCUAAAACCUAAAGAAUAAGUAGAAGACAAUCAGGCAAAGUUGGGGGGUGGGGAGAUGUUUAUGUAGAGGCAAAGCCUUGAGGGUGGAGAGAAUGUGCUGCGAUCCAAGAGCUGAAAGGCCUGGAUGGCCCCAGUGAAACAUUCAGGUGUCCCGACACGGGAAGCCUGAAGAGACGGCUGAGGCCUGGUCUCACAGGCCUUGGAUGUUCAUUGCAGUGUUUUUUAUAAAGCAGAAGAAAUGAAAAUCUACCUACACAGGGUAUCAAUAAAUCUUUCCUGUAAAGGGCCAGAUAGUGCAUAUUUUAGGCUUUGUGGCCAUAUGGUCUUUGCUAGCUACUCAACUCUUGCUGUUGCAAAGCAGCAACAGACAAUGUGUAAACAAAUAGGCAUGGCUGUGUUCCAAUAAAACUUUAUUUAUGGACACUGAAAUUUGAAUUUCAUAUAAUUUUCAUGCGUUAUGAAAUAAUAUUCUUUUGAUUUUUUUUUUCCUGCCAACCAUUUUAAAAUGUGAAAAGCAUUCUUAGGUUCCCAGGCAAUACCCAGGAAGCUGUAGUUUACCAACUCCUGGCCCACGUGUUCAAGAGCAAUAAGAGCCUGGUCAAACCAGCUACAAGGCAUCCACACAGUGGAAUACUAAGCAUUCACUAAAAUGUUGAAAUACGAUCCUUCGUGAUAAUGGUUCAUCUCUAUGCAGCACUUUUCAAGCGCCAGGCCCUGUAUUAAGCACUUAGUAUGCUUUAGCUCUUAUUAACCAUCACAUAAACCAAUGAGGUAGGUAGUAUUAUUAUGCUUGCUUUACAGAUGAGAAAACAGAAGCUCCAAGAGGCCCAGAUCACAUAGCUAGAAAGUAGCAGAGUCAAGAGGUGAGCCCUGGUCUUCUGACAGGAAUCAGUUGCUCUGACCACACAGAACGCCCAAAGGGAAGGCCAACUGCAGUGGGCUCUCUCAGAGAGCGAAGAUUUAUUGGGAAAGUGAAGCUGGUUUCCUUUUGCUUAUCCAUAAUUUCCUAUUUUCUAAGAAAAUAUGGAGUACAUGAAAAGGUCAGAGAAAUAAUGAGGACACAUGGUCACUGGAAUACAAAUGAUGACAAAUAAAAUCAGACUCACAAAGAAGUCAGUCACAGAAGGCCACAUAUCACAUGAUUCCUUUCAUAGGAAGCGUCCAGAAAUGGCAAAUCUAUAGAGACAGGAAGC